Long non-coding RNA from Oncorhynchus tshawytscha (Chinook salmon), 646 nucleotides. The record is from Ensembl. NCBI's taxonomy places the organism in Eukaryota, Metazoa, Chordata, Actinopteri, Salmoniformes, Salmonidae.
GUUACAGUGUGAUCGUCUCCAGGAGUGCCCAAACCGUGAACAGCAACAUCACCAUGUCUGCCUCAGAAUAAAAGAACAGCAGCGUGGAGUGUGUCAGCAGAAAUGUAAUUGGCCAGACCGAGAUGGAAUUCCCCAUACUACACCAAGCUGAAGGGAGCCUGACACAUAUCCCUGGGUCAGAGAAGAGGGAUGUUGCAGUCUUUCCCUGGAUAAUCGUUGGCUUGUCCCUCAGCCUUAAUGUGGCCCUCCUUGUCUAUCUGACCAGCGCUUGUAAAUGACAGGUAGAUGAAGAGGGCAAAGUCACACCGAGAGACACACCAGCUACAUUUAUGGUCCAGGGGAGAACUGCAUUCCCACAUCCUCCAGAAAGAGCUACAAUAUAUGAAGAGAGAAACAGUAUCAUCAGAGCAGUCUUAGACCUCUUGCAAUAACCACACCACAACCUUGACACAACACAAUUGCAAGCAAAUACUGUCUUUGGGAAAAUGCAUGUUUUUUCUGAAAAUUAUAGCACUUCUCUGUUUCCCUCCUUUUGGGUGACCUGCAACUUCUCUCAAAUUCUUCUCUCUCACAUCUAGAAAACAAAGUGCAUACUCUGUUAAUCAUGUUCAUGUAAUAGGGUCCACGUUGCGUUGCCUUGCCAUCC